Molecule: ribosomal RNA, 560 nt
Filed under: Serratia sp. N8-4
Lineage: Bacteria; Pseudomonadati; Pseudomonadota; Gammaproteobacteria; Enterobacterales; Yersiniaceae
Description: bacterial SSU rRNA
Rfam family: Bacterial small subunit ribosomal RNA
Source: RNAcentral
AGGGGGAUAACUACUGGAAACGGUAGCUAAUACCGCAUAACGUCUUCGGACCAAAGUGGGGGACCUUCGGGCCUCACGCCAUCAGAUGUGCCCAGAUGGGAUUAGCUAGUAGGUGGGGUAAUGGCUCACCUAGGCGACGAUCCCUAGCUGGUCUGAGAGGAUGACCAGCCACACUGGAACUGAGACACGGUCCAGACUCCUACGGGAGGCAGCAGUGGGGAAUAUUGCACAAUGGGCGCAAGCCUGAUGCAGCCAUGCCGCGUGUGUGAAGAAGGCCUUCGGGUUGUAAAGCACUUUCAGCGAGGAGGAAGGGUAGUGUGUUAAUAGCACAUUNCAUUGACGUUACUCGCAGAAGAAGCACCGGCUAACUCCGUGCCAGCAGCCGCGGUAAUACGGAGGGUGCAAGCGUUAAUCGGAAUUACUGGGCGUAAAGCGCACGCAGGCGGUUUGUUAAGUCAGAUGUGAAAUCCCCGCGCUUAACGUGGGAACUGCAUUUGAAACUGGCAAGCUAGAGUCUUGUAGAGGGGGGUAGAAUUCCAGGUGUAGCGGUGAAAUGCGUA